AUGUCAAGUGUGCCCAGGGUGACCCAGGGCUCAGCUUGUGUGUAGAAGGCCCUCGUGUAUUUUGCCAAGUUUCCCAUGGUGGGAGUGAACACACCAAGUGCCUUCCUGAAGUCACACCACAAAGAGCAUGAGAUGCCUAAGUUCAUUGCCAUUUCCACGUCGGGUCUGAGACCUUUCCCUGCAGGGAUGGUAACCAUACUCUAUUCUACAACCCUCCAUGAACCUGCUUCCAAUUGGCUAUUAUGAUGAA
Molecule: long non-coding RNA, 250 nt
Filed under: Homo sapiens (human)
Lineage: Eukaryota; Metazoa; Chordata; Mammalia; Primates; Hominidae
Description: non-protein coding lnc-NEGR1-2:1
Source: RNAcentral